UACGGAGGGUGCGAGCGUUGUCCGGAAUCACUGGGCGUAAAGGGCGCGUAGGCGGCGCGAGAAGUCAACGGUGAAAGCCCGGGGCUCAACCCCGGGUCGGCCGUCGAUACUCUUGUGCUUGAGCACUGUAGAGGCAGGUGGAAUUCCGGGUGUAGCGGUGGAAUGCGUAGAGAUCCGGAAGAACACCGGUGGCGAAGGCGGCCUGCUGGGCAGUAGCUGACGCUGAGGCGCGACAGCGUGGGGAGCAAACAGG
RNAcentral lists this ribosomal RNA (253 nucleotides) under uncultured bacterium. Its description in RNAcentral is "partial 16S ribosomal RNA". It matches the Rfam family "Bacterial small subunit ribosomal RNA", at positions 524 to 776 of the family's 1533-position model. The record is from RNAcentral.